RNAcentral lists this long non-coding RNA (723 nucleotides) under Homo sapiens (human). RNAcentral's name for it is "LNC_000002". Lineage: Eukaryota; Metazoa; Chordata; Mammalia; Primates; Hominidae. The record is from RNAcentral.
GUCUCUCGCUGGUGCUGGCACAAGAGCUUGGGAUCCGUCUCCUCUUUCGCCUCCUGCACCUUGGGAGCCCCGGGCUACUCUCUCACAGCCCCUGUUGCCCUGUGAUCUGUAGGUCCUUGGGGACGCAUAGUUAAGGUGCCAGGACAUCCUGGAAGCUGGGAAAUGAUUUCUUCCAGACCAUGGCUGGAGAAGGAAAGAAGAUUGUUGCAGUGGCAGGACCAAGGUCAAAUGAGUUAUAGCCAAGUCUACAGUAAGAUGUGGCAGUAUUCUGUUUUGAAGCCGGGACCAUGAUUGGCAAGCUUGCCACUUGGUCAAGUGCUCACCCUCUGAAAAUGUCUUCCUUGGUCUUUGCCUCCAGCUGGGUGCCACAAACUCUGAACUGGAUUUCAAGGCUUUCAUGAAUGCACUUACGUUUGCUGUGGCAGCUGCAUUAUGUCGUGGGGGAUGUGGAUGCAGAACCUCACAUUCUGUCGUCUUGCUUAUGUUACUCUCCUUUAUGUUUCACUUUCUCAAAUGAAUGUCAAGCAGGUGAUUUUCAGAUUCAAAAGUUCUAAAAUAAAUUGCUCAAAUUUAUACAUUAUGUAAGCUGUUAAUAAAAUUUCUUGUAGGUGCUACAUAUUUGUUAAAAUUUUUGGUUGUAAUUUUAAGCUCACUGUAGGCAGAAAGGAAUCAUUAAGAUUUCUAUUCUUUUUUAGUCUGUAUCUAAAUGACCAUAUAUUUUAA